This 648-nucleotide long non-coding RNA is filed under the name Vulpes vulpes (red fox). RNAcentral's name for it is "lncRNA (ENSVVUG00000020054.1)". Lineage: Eukaryota; Metazoa; Chordata; Mammalia; Carnivora; Canidae. The record is from RNAcentral.
CAGUCCCUGUGUUGACACAGGGGUGGGAAGGAGGAUUACCAAAUGGAUUACCAUUAGUGACUACACCCCAAAACGCAUCUUUUCUGGCAACUGCUUCUCUUUCCUGGUUCUAGGAUCUUCUUCUCAUCUCUUACUAUAUGAUGAUUCUUCCUCAACCCUGCCACCGGUCACCUGCAUUCCUUCAUCCUUUGUGGUUGAACAAGGAGCUUUAAAUGCAAUGCCUACUCCCAUAAAGGUUGGGAUCCUUCAGCUAGGCAAAGUCAAAGAAAUUUCCUGGCAGGUGGUUUCAAUAGCCAGUAGAACCCUGACAGAGAUGACAGAGUGCUUGGAUGGGGAGAGCCAGUGCUAUUUUGCAGAAGCCAAAGAAAGGGAGAACAAAGGGAGACCUACACCUUCUGAAUUACAGGAUCCUGAUUCUGAGUCAAGUAUCAGGAAAAGCUGACCGUUUAAGGAAAUAAAGGCACUUUUAAAAGUUUUCUUUAUGCAGGAUACAGCCUCUUUAAAUGCUAUUAAAAUUCCAGUUGUUCUUCCAAGUCUGUGUCCUUUUAAAAUUAUCAUUCUUGAGCAUCAUAGUGGCCUUCUGAAUCCAAGUAUCUUCAGACAUCCUCCCUAAAACCUGUAAGUUAAACAAGGGGCAGAAAUGAAACA